UACGGAGGGUGCAAGCGUUGUUCGGAAUUACUGGGCGUAAAGCGCGCGCAGGCGGUUUGUUAAGUCAGAUGUGAAAGCCCAUGGCUCAACCAUGGACGUGCAUUUGAAACUGGCAAGCUUGAGUAGUGGAGGGGGUGGUGGAAUUCCCGGUGUAGAGGUGAAAUUCGUAGAUAUCGGGAGGAAUACCGGUGGCGAAGGCGACCACCUGGCCACAUACUGACGCUGAGGCGCGAAAGCGUGGGGAGCAAACAGGAUUAGAUACCCCCGUAGUCC
RNAcentral lists this ribosomal RNA (273 nucleotides) under uncultured bacterium. RNAcentral's name for it is "partial 16S ribosomal RNA". It matches the Rfam family "Bacterial small subunit ribosomal RNA", at positions 524 to 796 of the family's 1533-position model. The record is from RNAcentral.